UAUUUCUUGGUGUAAGGAUGCACGAAAAUUUUUGAUGUUUUAAGAGCAGUUUAAUUCUGUGGGAAAUAA
Molecule: transfer RNA, 69 nt
Filed under: Agriocnemis femina
Lineage: Eukaryota; Metazoa; Arthropoda; Insecta; Odonata; Coenagrionidae
Description: tRNA-Gln
Source: RNAcentral